This 517-nucleotide ribosomal RNA is filed under the name uncultured fungus. RNAcentral describes it as "SSU rRNA". It matches the Rfam family "Eukaryotic small subunit ribosomal RNA", at positions 209 to 726 of the family's 1831-position model. The record is from RNAcentral. Lineage: Eukaryota; Fungi.
AUUAGAUAAAAAACCAAUGCCCUUCGGGGCUUUCUGGUGAUUCAUAAUAACUAAACGAAUCGCAUGGCCUUGAGCCGGCGAUGGUUCAUUCAAAUUUCUGCCCUAUCAACUUUCGAUUGUAGGAUAGAGGCCUACAAUGGUUUCAACGGGUAACGGAGAAUUAGGGUUCGGUUCCGGAGAGGGAGCCUGAGAAACGGCUACCACAUCCAAGGAAGGCAGCAGGCGCGCAAAUUACCCAAUCCCGACACGGGGAGGUAGUGACAAUAAAUACUGAUACAGGGCUCUUUUGGGUCUUGUAAUUGGAAUGAGUACAAUUUAAAUCCCUUAACGAGGAACAAUUGGAGGGCAAGUCUGGUGCCAGCAGCCGCGGUAAUUCCAGCUCCAAUAGCGUAUAUUAAAGUUGUUGCAGUUAAAAAGCUCGUAGUUGAACCUUGGGUUUGGCUGGCCGGUCCGCCUCACCGCGUGCACUGGUCCGGCCGGACCUUUCCUCUUGGGGAUCCGCAUGCCCUUUACUGGG